RNAcentral lists this ribosomal RNA (495 nucleotides) under uncultured bacterium. Its description in RNAcentral is "bacterial SSU rRNA". It matches the Rfam family "Bacterial small subunit ribosomal RNA", at positions 903 to 1397 of the family's 1533-position model. The record is from RNAcentral.
AAAUGAAUAGACGGGGGCUCGCACAAGCGGAGGAACAUGUGGUUUAAUUCGAUGAUACGCGAGGAACCUUACCCGGGCUUGAAAUGCAGAAGAAUAACUUGGAAACGAGUUAGCCAGCAAUGGCUUCUGUGUAGGUGCUGCAUGGUUGUCGUCAGCUCGUGCCGUGAGGUGUCGGCUUAAGUGCCAUAACGAGCGCAACCCCUAUCGUUAGUUACUAACAGGUAACGCUGAGGACUCUAGCGAGACUGCCACCGUAAGGUGUGAGGAAGGUGGGGAUGAUGUCAAAUCAGCACGGCCCUUACGUCCGGGGCGACACACGUGUUACAAUGGGAGGUACAGAGGGUAGCUACUUAGCGAUAAGAUGCGAAUCUCCAAAAGCCUCUUCCAGUUCGGAUUGGAGUCUGCAACUCGACUCCAUGAAGCUGGAUUCGCUAGUAAUCGCGCAUCAGCCAUGGCGCGGUGAAUACGUUCCCGGGCCUUGUACACACCGCCCGU